CUGCUCCAAGCUCAUUUGCUUUUUUCUGCUCAUUAUCGAACCGGGGCAGGCGCCGUCGCACGCAUACAUGUCCAUGCUGCUCGUGCAAUGCGCCUCGUCUUUUCUGGCUUUCUCGCCCCGAGCAACAACAUUUCGCUUCGUCUUAUUCUAUAGAAAAAGUGUGACUGCUUGCCACUUUGUGGAUUUAU
This is a non-coding RNA of Caenorhabditis elegans, 188 nucleotides long. The record is from Ensembl. NCBI's taxonomy places the organism in Eukaryota, Metazoa, Nematoda, Chromadorea, Rhabditida, Rhabditidae.